RNAcentral lists this ribosomal RNA (425 nucleotides) under uncultured bacterium. RNAcentral describes it as "partial 16S ribosomal RNA". It matches the Rfam family "Bacterial small subunit ribosomal RNA", at positions 354 to 796 of the family's 1533-position model. The record is from RNAcentral.
GUGGGGAAUUUUGGACAAUGGGCGCAAGCCUGAUCCAGCCAUGCCGCGUGAGUGAUGAAGGCCUUAGGGUUGUAAAGCUCUUUCAGUAGGGAAGAUAAUGACGGUACCUACAGAAGAAGCCCCGGCUAACUUCGUGCCAGCAGCCGCGGUAAUACGAAGGGGGCUAGCGUUGUUCGGAUUUACUGGGCGUAAAGCGCACGUAGGCGGAUUGGUCAGUUAGAGGUGAAAUACUGGAGCUCAACUCCAGAACUGCCUUUAAUACUGCCAGUCUAGAGUCCAGAAGAGGUGAGUGGAACUCCUAGUGUAAAGGUGGAAUUCGUAGAUAUUAGGAAGAACACCAGUGGCGAAGGCGGCUCACUGGUCUGGUACUGACGCUGAGGUGCGAAAGCGUGGGGAGCAAACAGGAUUAGAAACCCUAGUAGUCC